GAUGAAGAACGUAGCGUAAUGCGAUAAGUAAUGUGAAUUGCAGAAUUCAGUGAAUCAUCGAAUCUUUGAACGCACAUUGCGCCCGCCAGUAUUCUGGCGGGCAUGCCUGUUCGAGCGUCAUUUCAACCAUCAAGCCCUGCUUGCGUUGGGGUCCUGCGGCUGCCCGCAGGCCCUGAAAACCAGUGGCGGGCUCGCUAGUCACACCGAGCGCAGUAAUACAUCUCGCUUUGGGCGUGCGGCGGGUUCUUGCCGUUAAACACCCCCUUUUUACCAAGGUUGACCUCGGAUCAGGUAGGAAUACCCGCUGAACUUAAGCAUAUCAAUAAGCGGAGGA
RNAcentral lists this unclassified non-coding RNA (334 nucleotides) under soil metagenome. Its description in RNAcentral is "partial contains 5.8S ribosomal RNA, internal transcribed spacer 2, and large subunit ribosomal RNA". The stretch from base 1 to 120 matches the Rfam family "5.8S ribosomal RNA", at positions 35 to 154 of the family's 154-position model. The record is from RNAcentral.